This 477-nucleotide ribosomal RNA is filed under the name uncultured bacterium. RNAcentral describes it as "bacterial SSU rRNA". It matches the Rfam family "Bacterial small subunit ribosomal RNA", at positions 29 to 506 of the family's 1533-position model. The record is from RNAcentral.
AUGAACGCUGGCGGCGUGCUUAACACAUGCAAGUCGAACGAUGAACCUGUGCUUGCACGGGGGAUUAGUGGCGAACGGGUGAGUAACACGUGAGUAACCUGCCCUUGACUUCGGGAUAAGCCUGGGAAACUGGGUCUAAUACUGGAUACGACCUCUCACCGCAUGGUGUGGGGGUGGAAAGUUUUUGCGGUUUUGGAUGGACUCGCGGCCUAUCAGCUUGUUGGUGAGGUAAUGGCUCACCAAGGCGACGACGGGUAGCCGGCCUGAGAGGGUGACCGGCCACACUGGGACUGAGACACGGCCCAGACUCCUACGGGAUGCAGCAGUGGGGAAUAUUGCACAAUGGGCGAAAGCCUGAUGCAGCGACGCCGCGAGAGGGACGACGGCCUUCGGGUUGUAAACCUCUUUCAGUAGGGAACAAGGCAUCAUUUUUGUGGUGUUGAGGGUACUUGCAGAAGAAGCACCGGCUAACUACGU